This 61-nucleotide transfer RNA is filed under the name Listeria monocytogenes. Its description in RNAcentral is "tRNA-Arg". It matches the Rfam family "tRNA", at positions 7 to 64 of the family's 71-position model. Rfam says of the family: Transfer RNA (tRNA) molecules are approximately 80 nucleotides in length. Lineage: Bacteria; Bacillati; Bacillota; Bacilli; Caryophanales; Listeriaceae. The record is from RNAcentral.
AUAGCUCAGCUGGAUAGAGCAACGGCCUUCUAAGCCGUCGGUCGGGGGUUCGAAUCCCUCU